RNAcentral lists this ribosomal RNA (461 nucleotides) under uncultured bacterium. RNAcentral describes it as "partial 16S ribosomal RNA". It matches the Rfam family "Bacterial small subunit ribosomal RNA", at positions 339 to 795 of the family's 1533-position model. The record is from RNAcentral.
CGACGGGGGGUAGCAGUGAGGAAGACUGGUCAAGGGACGCAAGUCGGAACCAGACAAGUAGCGUGGAGGAGGACGGCCCUCCGGGUUGUAAACUGCUUUUAGUUGGGAAUAAAAGGGGGCUCGUGAGCCCCGUAUUGUAUGUACCAUCAGAAAAAGGACCGGCUAAUUCCGUGCCAGCAGCCGCGGUAAUACGGAAGGUCCGGGCGUUAUCCGGAUUUAUUGGGUUUAAAGGGAGCGUAGGUCGGCUUUUAAGUCAGCUGUGAAAGUCCGCGGCUCAACCGUGGAAUUGCAGUUGAAACUGGAGGCCUUGAGUGCACACAGGGAUGCCGGAAUUCAUGGUGUAGCGGUGAAAUGCUUAGAUAUCAUGAAGAACUCCGAUCGCGAAGGCAGGUGUCCGGGGUGCAACUGACGCUGAGGCUCGAAAGUGCGGGUAUCAAACAGGAUUAGAUACCCGGGUAGUC